GCCUAUCAUGCAAGUCGAGCAGUCGAGCGAACUGAUUAGAAGCUUGCUUCUAUGACGUUAGCGGCGGACGGGUGAGUAACACGUGGGCAACCUGCCUGUAAGACUGGGAUAACUUCGGGAAACCGAAGCUAAUACCGGAUAGGAUCUUCUCCUUCAUGGGAGAUGAUUGAAAGAUGGUUUCGGCUAUCACUUACAGAUGGGCCCGCGGUGCAUUAGCUAGUUGGUGAGGUAACGGCUCACCAAGGCAACGAUGCAUAGCCGACCUGAGAGGGUGAUCGGCCACACUGGGACUGAGACACGGCCCAGACUCCUACGGGAGGCAGCAGUAGGGAAUCUUCCGCAAUGGACGAAAGUCUGACGGAGCAACGCCGCGUGAGUGAUGAAGGCUUUCGGGUCGUAAAACUCUGUUGUUAGGGAAGAACAAGUACAAGAGUAACUGCUUGUACCUUGACGGUACCUAACCAGAAAGCCACGGCUAACUACGUGCCAGCAGCCGCGGUAAUACGUAGGUGGCAAGCGUUAUCCGGAAUUAUUGGGCGUAAAGCGCGCGCAGGCGGUUUCUUAAGUCUGAUGUGAAAGCCCACGGCUCAACCGUGGAGGGUCAUUGGAAACUGGGGAACUUGAGUGCAGAAGAGAAAAGCGGAAUUCCACGUGUA
Molecule: ribosomal RNA, 656 nt
Filed under: Priestia megaterium
Lineage: Bacteria; Bacillati; Bacillota; Bacilli; Caryophanales; Bacillaceae
Description: bacterial SSU rRNA
Rfam family: Bacterial small subunit ribosomal RNA
Source: RNAcentral